This 377-nucleotide ribosomal RNA is filed under the name uncultured bacterium. RNAcentral's name for it is "bacterial SSU rRNA". It matches the Rfam family "Bacterial small subunit ribosomal RNA", at positions 523 to 898 of the family's 1533-position model. The record is from RNAcentral.
AGACGUAGGGGGCAAGCGUUACCCGGAAUCACUGGGCGUAAAGGGAGCGUAGGCGGUUUAUCAGGUCAUGAGUGAAAGACUCCGGCUCAACCGGAGAGGUGCUUAUGAAACCGAUAAACUUGAGGAUAUCAGAGGAAAAGGGAAUUACCAUUGUAGGGGUGAAAUCCGUAGAGAGUGGUAAGAAUGCCGGUGGCGAAGGCGCUUUUCCGGGGUAUACCUGACGCUGAGGCUCGAAAGCCAGGGGAGCGAACCGGAUUAGAUACCCGGGUAGUCCUGGCCGUAAACGAUGUUCACUAGGUGUAGGAUGUCGACAGGCAAACUGUGCUGAAGCAAACGCGAUAAGUGAACCGCCUGGGGAGUACGUCCGCAAGGAUGAA